Molecule: unclassified non-coding RNA, 18 nt
Filed under: Chlamydomonas reinhardtii
Lineage: Eukaryota; Viridiplantae; Chlorophyta; Chlorophyceae; Chlamydomonadales; Chlamydomonadaceae
Description: small RNA Cre_3322
Source: RNAcentral
UGGCGGCUCGGGGCGACG